RNAcentral lists this ribosomal RNA (253 nucleotides) under uncultured bacterium. RNAcentral describes it as "partial 16S ribosomal RNA". It matches the Rfam family "Bacterial small subunit ribosomal RNA", at positions 524 to 776 of the family's 1533-position model. The record is from RNAcentral.
UACGUAGGGGGCGAGCGUUAAGCGGAAUUACUGGGCGUAAAGCGUGCGCAGGCGGUUUUGUAAGCCAGGGGGGAAAUCCCCGGGCUCAACCUGGGAAUGGCAUUUGGGACUGCAAGGCUAGAGUUUGGCAGAGGAGACUGGAAUUCCUGGUGUAGCAGUGAAAUGCGUAGAUAUCAGGAGGAAUACCGAUGGCGAAGGCAGGUCUCUGGGCUGAAACUGACGCUCAUGCACGAAAGCGUGGGGAGCAAACAGG